GUGGAUUAGUGGUCAGAGCAUCCGCCUUGGAUGUGGGAGAUCAUGGGUUCAAUCCCAUGGUUCCA
This is a non-coding RNA of Potamilus streckersoni, 65 nucleotides long. Lineage: Eukaryota; Metazoa; Mollusca; Bivalvia; Unionida; Unionidae. The record is from the annotation of a GenBank genome assembly.